UUCUAUAAGAGAGCAGGCUGAGCAAGUCAGGGGAAGCAAGCCAGUAAGAAACAUCCCUCCAUGGCCUCUGCAUCAGCUCCUGCUUCCUGACCUGCUUGAGUUCCAGUCCUGACUUCCUUUAGUGAUGAACUGCAACGUGGAAGUAAAUGAAGUCUUCUAUUUUAUCAUACUUCCUCACUUGACUCUGAACAAUGAAGCCUUCUGCAAUGAUGGAAAUGUUCUCUGACAACACAGUCCACAGUCUCAUGUAUGAGAACUCAAAAACUCCCAGGCGCCAUGGCGAGAACCUCAUUCGUUCUAGGAACAUUACACAAACAGCCUCUUCACUUGAAAAAAGAAGAAAGAAAGAAAAGGCUUCCUACUAGACUGGAGAGACAGAAGAGCAGGAAAAGGCACCUGCUGCAUUCGAGAAAGUUUUCCUGCCUUCUAUUCUACUCCUGCUUUCUUGAGUCUUUUGUUGGAGAUAAGUUUGGGGUCAAAAUGAAAGGGACCACAAUUCCUACUGAAGGGUCUGAACAAGGCGAACUCAGAAGAGCACUGAGUUUUUAGUCUAACUCAGUUGGGAACUGUAUCUUUUCCCCAUUGGCUGUCAGCCACCUCACAGUCUCAUCCGAUUGGCUAGUCUGAAAAGAACCGGAAAUGAAGGAGGAAGGAAAAAGGUUUAGUGCUCUGAAAAGAAAGAAGUCACUGCUCCAGGCCCUCAAAUUCCUGGAAUGCAGUAGGAGCCUUGGGGUGAGAGGGAUUAAACCAUUUGCAUCCAAGUCUUACAAAGUGGAGAAAAUAAAGCGAUUCUCAUUACUUGUCCUAAACACAAGUUUUACAGUGUUUAAUAUUAGACUUGUAUUUGAUAUCUCGUAUUCCUGCCCCUCAUUGCAUCGGUGUGGUCCUUCUAAAUCCCUAAUCUGCCAUACGGCUCACCUGCUUAAAACUAAUGACUCUGUGCUCUUCUUAGAACAGGGUGAGCGAGCGGCACGUGCCCAUCCUCCUCCAUCUUCGUCCUCAGCCUUUUGGCUCCUCCUCCAUCUCGGUAUUCCAGUUGCACCGGCUCCUUCUGGCUCCCUCCUGCUUCUUCCUUCAUGAGGUGUCUCUGCCCCCCGAACUGCAACACACUGUUCUCUCCUCUUCUCUGCAUUUCUCUUCUACCUAAUCUCAUUCUGUCACUUCCAUAGCUCCUUCCUCUUCCUGGUAACACUCAUGACACACAUGUCUACUCAACUUAAUAUCAGUUUUUCCAAGCACAGGAAAAGUCCACGGAAUUCAGCUGCAAUCCCUCCUUUUAGAACAGGGCCUGGCCAAAGGAGGGCUCACUCAACACUGUGUCUAAUAAACAGCCCUUGGAGUCCUGGGACACAGCUUUUAGCAUGUCUUCAUCUGAUUUGAUGAGGGCAGGAUUGUACGGCCCAUACUUAGAAACUUCCAGUUGGUGAUUUGGGAUAUAUGUCACAUAUCCACAGCCAUCCAUGUGUCCUCUCCCCUCAAGAUUUCUUCCUUUCUUUUCUUUCCUUUCAUUUUUUGGGGGGUAGGGAGGUAGAGGGCAGUGUCAGAGUUUCUCUACAUAACCAAACUGCCUUGGGUUCACUAUAUAGAUCAAGCUGGCUUCAAACUCAGAGUCCUGGAUGGAAUUAAGCAGAUGCAAGACAACCUUGCCUAGCAAGGUUUGCUCUUUUACAAUGCAAUAGUCAGGACCCAGCAGACUUUAUUUUCAAAUGUAAAUUGCAUUCUGGACUUAAAUGUUUUCAAUAGUAUUUUGACUGCUCUCAAAAUUUAAUUCAAAGUCUCAAGAUCCUAGGGGUUCUGGGUCCUUGACAUCCUCUAACGCAGGCUACCCACCUUCUGGUUCCUUCUACUCUAAAGCGUUAGGUUUUCUGUCCUUCAAAUACACAAAGCCUUUUGUAAUACAGGGCCUGCCGUAGCUGUUUCUUGCUCCCACACUACCUCACUUUAAGAUCUUUGAACAACUGGCUAUUUCUCCUUCCUGACUUAAAUGUCAGCGAAUGUUUUAGAACAUUCUAUUCUGAUCUCCCUGGAUCAAAUCUCUCCAGUUUUUAUGUGCUUAUGACAAUCUAAAAUUCUUUGUUGUUGUUGUUAUUUUUAGAUAUUUUCUUGACACAAGCCCCCCCCCCAGCUGGCCUUGAACUAGCUGUGUAGACCAGG
Molecule: long non-coding RNA, 2154 nt
Organism: Apodemus sylvaticus (European woodmouse)
Lineage: Eukaryota; Metazoa; Chordata; Mammalia; Rodentia; Muridae
Exons: 4
Source: RefSeq, a predicted model, not a curated record